AUAUCAGUCAUGCAUAGCAUAUCAAUAAGCGGAGGAAAAGAAACUAACAAGGAUUCCCUUAGUAACGGCGAGUGAAGCGGGAAGAGCUCAAAUUUGAAAUCUUCAAGGUUUUACCUUGACGAAUUGUAGUUUAAAGAAGUGUUUUCUGUUGAAGUUUUGGUAAAAGUUCUUUGGAAUAGGACAUCAUAGAGGGUGAGAAUCCCGUAUUUGACCAUUACUUUCAGCUUUGUGAUACACUUUCAAAGAGUCGGAUUGUUUGGGAAUGCAGUCCAAAAUGGGUGGUAAAUUUCAUCUAAAGCUAAAUAUUGGCGAGAGACCGAUAGCGAACAAGUACCGUGAGGGAAAGAUGAAAAGAACUUUGAAAAGAGAGUUAAACAGUACGUGAAAUUGUCAAAAGGGAAGCGUUUGACACCAGUGUUGUUUUCUCGAAAAUCAAUUAAAAAGAGUUGGAUUUUGUGUUGUAUUGACUUUAUCAGGCUUUCUUCACUCUUUUCCAGCUUUUUUUAAUGCACUUUUCGUUUAACAAGUCAACAUCAGUUUCUUUUGUUGUAAAAAGGUCAUUGGAAGGUGGCUUUCUCUUCGGAGAAAGUGUUUAUAGCCUUUGACUCAUGCAAUCGGAGAGACUGAGGUCUGCAGCGUAGAUCCUUCGGGGUUAGAUACAUUUGUGCUAAGUUAUAGCUUUUCAUAGACAACUUGUUGACUAUGUUCAGUCUUGUAGCUUACUCGCUUAUGCUAUUUUACCUACGCUUAGGAUGUUGAACUCUAUCACACACAG
Molecule: ribosomal RNA, 775 nt
Filed under: uncultured Neocallimastigales
Lineage: Eukaryota; Fungi; Neocallimastigomycota; Neocallimastigomycetes; Neocallimastigales
Description: partial large subunit ribosomal RNA
Rfam family: Eukaryotic large subunit ribosomal RNA
Source: RNAcentral